Molecule: long non-coding RNA, 279 nt
Filed under: Manacus vitellinus (golden-collared manakin)
Lineage: Eukaryota; Metazoa; Chordata; Aves; Passeriformes; Pipridae
Description: lncRNA (ENSMVIG00005017322.1)
Source: RNAcentral
AUAAAAGUCAGUAAGUAGACUACAAUGUAUAUUUAAAAAUUUACUCUGUUUAUAUUUUCAGCAUCAACAGCUAAGGUCCUGGAAUUAUUUCAAAUGAUUCAGGAGAUCCAAGGUUGACAUGGACAAGAGAGAGGCAGCUCUACCAAACACCUCUACAAAACUUGAUAGAAACUCCUUGGAAAAUAGUAUUGAAGAAUGCUUAUCCAGGACAUGAAGGUCUGAAAUUUUACAUUUUUGAAGCUAAGGAGACAGGAGCCAUCAUGUCAUUCAUGUCCAUCA